UUGAGGUCAUUCGACUUUGCGUGGUUACGUCACAUCCGUAAACAGAAAGAAGAGACGGCUACUAUAUUGCAUGUGUUUGUGCUGUGUUUGUAGUUUCUUAGAAUUUAAACUUGUCAUCCAGAUGGCUGCUUUUAAUCUGGAUAGUUCUAAACAGCAAUCAUCGGCGACAUCUGGGGAAUCAGCAAAACCAAGAAACCUUGAACUGUAGAGAACCUUCAGCCAAAAAGGGAAAGCGACAGAGUCUGUGCUAAAAACUGGCAUGGAUUUUUAGAGGUGUCGAAAACUCAGAGAUCUGAAGGGAUCGACGAUUGACGCAGAGAUGAACAGUCCCACACGAAUUUAUGGAGAUACUAGAGAUCCAGAUCCUUUCUUCCUCUGGAUGGAGCUCAAAUCUUCUCUAAUUCCAGACUACUGGGACUACGGCUGCUCCUAACGCAAUACAGACUUCAUAUAAAUCCAUAAUGAACUUUUUCACACUAACUGUUGUUACCCAGAUGAGGAUGGGUUCCCUUCUGAGUCGGGUUCCUCUCAAGGUUUCUUCCUCUUAAAACAUCUUAGGGAGUUUUUCCUUGCCACCGUUGCCACUCAGUGGCUUGCUCAGUUGGGAUAAAUUCACACCUUUAAUAUCUGUAUACCAUGUUGAUAUUACUGUAAAGCUGCUUUGAGACAAUGUCUAUUGUAAAAAGCGCUAUACAAAUAAAAUAAAU
Molecule: long non-coding RNA, 707 nt
Organism: Ictalurus punctatus (channel catfish)
Lineage: Eukaryota; Metazoa; Chordata; Actinopteri; Siluriformes; Ictaluridae
Exons: 2
Source: RefSeq, a predicted model, not a curated record